Molecule: ribosomal RNA, 454 nt
Filed under: Macnabodrilus sp. 897
Lineage: Eukaryota; Metazoa; Annelida; Clitellata; Crassiclitellata; Megascolecidae
Description: partial 16S ribosomal RNA
Rfam family: Bacterial large subunit ribosomal RNA
Source: RNAcentral
CUGCCCAGUGACAAAAGUUCAACGGCCGCGGUAUCCUAACCGUGCAAAGGUAGCAUAAUCACUUGCCUAUUAAUUGUAGGCUAGAAUGAAUGGAUAAACGAAAUAAAAACUGUCUCAAUCAGCCACCUAAAAAUUAUUAUCUAUAUGAAGAAAUAUAGAUAAAAUCGAAGGACAAGAAGACCCUAUAGAGCUUAAUUUUUAAUAUAGAUAUAAAUUAUAUAAAAAAUUCGGUUGGGGCGACCAAGGGAAAUACACAUCACCCUCAAACAAAAAGAUAUAUAAAUCUAAGUACUGACCCUUAAAAGAUCACAAAAUCAAGCUACCUUAGGGAUAACAGGCUAAUCCCAUUUAAGAGUUCAUAUCAACAAUGGGGUUUGGCACCUCGAUGUUGGCUUAGGGUAUCAAUAUAGCGCAAAAGUUAUAUUAUGAUGGUUUGUUCAACCAAUAAUUCCCU